AAUCUGCGAGGACCACCUCGUAAGGCUAAAUAUUCCUGAAUGACCGAUAGUGAAAUAGUACCGUGAGGGAAAGGUGAAAAGAACCCCGGGAGGGGAGUGAAAAGAACAUGAAACCAUAAACUUACAAGCAGUAGGAGGACGACUAAAACGUCUGACUGCGUGCCUGUUGAAGAAUGAGCCGGCGACUUAUAGUUAGUGGCAGGUUAAGGUAGAGAAUACUGAAGCCACAGUGAAAGCGAGCCUGAAUAGGGCGUUUGUCACUAGUUAUAGACCCGAACCCGGAUGAUCUAACCAUGGUCAGGUUGAAGCUUAGGUAAUACUAAGUGGAGGACCGAACCGACUGAUGUUGAAAAAUCAGCGGAUGAAUUGUGGUUAGGGGUGAAAUGCCAAUCGAAUUCGGAGCUAGCUGGUUCUCCCCGAAAUGCGUUUUGGCGCAGCGGUAAAUGUUAUAAUUUAGGGGUAAAGCACUGUUACGUAUGCGGGCUGGUAAUUCGGUACCAAAUCGUUGCAAACUAAGAAUACUAAAUGAAUAGUUUACCAGUAAGACUGUGGGGGAUAAGCUCCAUUGUCAAGAGGGAAACAGCCCAGAGCACCAGUUAAGGCCCCCAAAUAAUUACUAAGUGGUAAAGGAGGUGGGAGUGCAUAGACAAUCAGGAGGUUUGCUUAGAAGCAGCAAUCCUUUAAAGAGUGCGUAAUAGCUCACUGAUCGAGUAAACCUGCGCCGAAAAUGAACGGGACUAAGUAAUUUGCCGAAACUGUGCGAUAUAUUUAUAAUAUAUCGGUAGGGGAGCGUUCUGUUGUAGGUCGAAGUAUUAGCGUAAGCGGAUAUGGACGAAGCAGAAGUGAGAAUGUCGGCUUGAGUAACGAAAAUAUAGGUGAGAAUCCUAUACCCCGAAAACCCAAGGUUUCCUCCGGAAGGCUCGUCCGCGGAGGGUAAGUCAGGACCUAAGGCGAGGCUGAAAAGCGUAGUCGAUGGACAACGGGUUAAUAUUCCCGUACCAUUUUUUAUUGAUAUCGAGGGACGGAGAAGGCUAAGCUAGCCGGAUAUUGGUUACCGGUUUAAGCGUUCGAGAUGUUGAGAAACGGCGAAAACGUUUUGAGUUGAGGCGCGAAUACGAGACGCUAAGGCGUUGAAGUAGUGUAUGUCAUACUUCCAAGAAAAGCUUGCACUGUCAUAAAUAAAAAAUGCCUGUACCAUAACCGACACAGGUGGGUAGGUAGAGUAUACUAAGGGGCGCGAGAUAACUCUCUCUAAGGAACUCGGCAAAAUAACUCCGUAACUUCGGGAGAAGGAGUGCCUUAUUCGUAAGGUUGCAAUAACAAGAUCCAAGCAACUGUUUAUCAAAAACACAGGUCUCCGCUAAGUCGUAAGACGAUGUAUGGGGGCUGACGCCUGCCCAGUGCCAGAAGGUUAAAGAAGUUGGUUAGCAUCUGCGAAGCUGAUAACUGAAGCCCUGGUGAACGGCGGCCGUAACUAUAACGGUCCUAAGGUAGCGAAAUUCCUUGUCGGGUAAGUUCCGACCCGCACGAAAGGCGUAAUGAUUUGGAUACUGUCUCGGAGAGGGGCUCGGUGAAAUAGACUUGUCUGUGAAGAUGCGGACUACCUGCACCAGGACAGAAAGACCCUAUGAAGCUUUACUGUAGCUUGAAAUUGAAAUUGGACUUUGCAUGCGCAGCAUAGGUGGGAAGCUUUGAUGAUAAUCUUGCGGGGUUAUUUGAGCUAUCAGUGAGAUACCACUCUUGUAAUGUUAGAUUUCUAACUUUAUAUCAUUAUCUGGUUAAAGAACAGUUUCAGGCGGGCAGUUUGACUGGGGCGGUCGCCUCCCAAAUGGUAACGGAGGCGUACAAAGGUUUCCUCUGAACGUGUAGAAAUCGUAUCUAGAGUGUAAAGGCAUAAGGAAGCUUGACUGUGAGACCUACAAGUCGAACAGGGACGAAAGUCGGUCUUAGUGAUCUGACGGUACUGAGUGGAAAGGCCGUCACUCAACGGAUAAAAGUUACUCUAGGGAUAACAGGCUGAUCUCCCCCAAGAGUUCA
Molecule: ribosomal RNA, 2037 nt
Filed under: marine metagenome
Description: bacterial LSU rRNA
Rfam family: Bacterial large subunit ribosomal RNA
Source: RNAcentral